GGUCAAGCAAUCAAGGGCUGAUGGUGGAUACCUAGGCACACAGAGGAGAAGAAGGACGUAGCAACCUGCGAAAAGCUUCGGGGAGUGGGAAGCACACGAUGAACCGAAGAUAUCCGAAUGGGGCAACCCUAAAAACACACUACGAAAGUAGUGAUGAGCGAACCUGGUGAACUGAAACAUCUUAGUAGCCAGAGGAAGAGAAAACAAAAGUGAUUCCCCUAGUAGCGGCGAGCGAAGCGGGAAAAGCCUAAACCACUGUCUAAGGAGAGUGGGGUAGUGGGACAGUGAGAUCAGAAGUGAAAGUUAGAUGAAACAGCUGAAAACUGUACCAAAGAAGGUAAAAGUCCUGUAAUCGAAAACAGAAACGGAGUAACUGAAUCCCGAGUAGCACGGUAUAAGAGAAAUCCCGUGUGAAUCAGCCUCGACCACGAGGUAAGGCUAAAUACUACUGUGUGACCGAUAGAGAAAAGUACCGCGAGGGAAAGGUGAAAAGAACCCCGGAAGGGGAGUGAAAAAGAACAUGAAACCAUCAGCUUACAAGCAAUGGGAGUCCUAUUAAAAGGAUGACCGUGUGCCUGUUGAAGAAUGAGCCGGCGACUUACAGGUAGUGGCAGGUUAAGUGGAAAACACGAAGCCAAAGGGAAACCGAGUCUGAAGAGGGCGUGUAGUCACUAUUUGUAGACCCGAACCCGAGUGAUCUAACCAUGUCCAGGAUGAAGCUUCAGUAACAUGAAGUGGAGGUCCGAACCGACUAAUGUUGAAAAAUUAGCGGAUGAGGUGUGGUUAGGGGUGAAAUGCCAAUCGAACUCGGAGCUAGCUGGUUCUCCCCGAAAUGUGUUUAGGCACAGCGGUGUAGAAGGUUAAUGGGGGUAAAGCACUGUUUCGUUGCGGGCUGGGAGACCGGUACCAAGAUGAGACAAACUCAGAAUACCAUUAACUAUAGCACUAGUAAGACGGUGGGGGAUAAGCUUCAUCGUCAAGAGGGAAACAGCCCAGACCAUCAGCUAAGGUCCCCAAGUAUAAACUAAGUGAUAAAGGAGGUGGGAAUGCUCAGACAACCAGGAGGUUUGCCUAGAAGCAGCAAUCCUUGAAAGAGUGCGUAAUAGCUCACUGGUCAAGCGUUCCUGCGCCGAAAAUGAACGGGGCUAAGUUUAUCACCGAAGCUAUGGACAGGAAACUGUGGUAGGGGAGCGUUCUAUAUAGGGAGAAGCAUUAGCGGUGAGCAGAUGUGGACAGUAUAGAAGUGAGAAUGUCGGCUUAAGUAGCGAAAAUUAGGGUGAGAAUCCCUAACCCCGAAAACCCAAGGGUUUCUCCAGAAGGUUCGUCCGUGGAGAGUUAGCCCGGACCUAAGGCGAAGCGAAAAGCGUAGUCGAUGGUAAGCAGGUGAAUAUUCCUGCGCGGCGUUAUAGGAGUUAUGAACGGGACCCAUGAAAAAUAAGCACGUCCUAAGUGGAUUGGAAGUGGCGUAAGCUAUGUGUGUGUAAAGAUAGUGGCAAGAAAAGCGUUGAUAAUGAUGAAUAUAAUGUCCCGGUACCCGAAACCGACACAGGUGGGUGAGUAGAGAAUACUAAGGGGAGCGAGUGAACUCUCUCUAAGGAACUCGGCAAAAUGACUCCGUAACUUCGGGAGAAGGGGUGCCACCGAGAGGUGGUUGCAGUGAAAAGGCCCAAGCGACUGUUUAGCAAAAACAUAGGUCUCUGCGAACUCGAAAGAGGAAGUAUAGGGGCUGACGCCUGCCCAGUGCCGGAAGGUUAAAGAAGUUGGUCAGUCUUAGGAUGAAGCUAGCGACUGAAGCCCCGGUGAACGGCGGCCGUAACUAUAACGGUCCUAAGGUAGCGAAAUUCCUUGUCGGGUAAGUUCCGACCCGCACGAAAGGCGUAACGAUUUGGGCACUGUCUCGGAGAGAGGCUC
RNAcentral lists this ribosomal RNA (1911 nucleotides) under Geminobacterium atlanticum LEGE 07459. RNAcentral describes it as "bacterial LSU rRNA". It matches the Rfam family "Bacterial large subunit ribosomal RNA", at positions 1 to 2034 of the family's 2925-position model. Lineage: Bacteria; Bacillati; Cyanobacteriota; Cyanophyceae; Chroococcales; Geminocystaceae. The record is from RNAcentral.